RNAcentral lists this unclassified non-coding RNA (323 nucleotides) under soil metagenome. Its description in RNAcentral is "partial contains 5.8S ribosomal RNA, internal transcribed spacer 2, and large subunit ribosomal RNA". The stretch from base 1 to 119 matches the Rfam family "5.8S ribosomal RNA", at positions 35 to 154 of the family's 154-position model. The record is from RNAcentral.
GAUGAAGACGUAGCGAAAUGCGAUAAGUAGUGUGAAUUGCAGAUUUCAGUGAAUCAUCGAAUCUUUGAACGCACAUUGCGCCCUUUGGUAUUCCUUAGGGCAUGCCUGUUCGAGCGUCAUUUAAACCUUCAAGCUUUGCUUGGUGUUGGGUGUUUGUCCCUCGGGACUCGCCUUAAAGUCAUUGGCAGCCAGUGUUUUGGUUUUGAAGCGCAGCACAAGUCGCGAUUCAAGGCUAUCCGCCCGCUUCCACAAGCCUUUUUCACUUUUGACCUCGGAUCAGGUAGGGAUACCCGCUGAACUUAAGCAUAUCAAUAAGCGGAGGA